AACCCGCUGAGGUCCCUUUCCACAGUGUGGAAGCUUUGUUUUUUCGCUCUUUGCGAUAAAUCUUGCUACUGCUCACUCUUUGGGACCAUACGGCUUUUAUGAGCCGUAACACUCACCGCGAAGGUCUGCAGUUUCACUCCUGAAGCCAGCGAGACCACGGGGAGGAACGAACAACUCCAGACGCGCCGCCUUAAGAGUUGUAACACUCACCACGAAGGUCUGCAGCUUCGCUCUUGAGCCAGCGAGACCACGAACCCACCAGAAGGAAGAAACUCUGAACACAUCUGAGCAUCAGAAGGAACAAACUCCAGACGUGCCACCUUAAGAGCUGUUAACACUCACCGCGAGGGUCCGCAGCUUCAUUCUUGAAGUCAGUGAGACCAAGAACCCACCAAUCCCGGACACAAAGCCACCACAUUCUGUAUCUUCUGCAUUCCAUAUUUGGCCCUUUGUAGCUGAUCACUUUCCAGAUUUCACAGUUUCAAAAUGAUGGUUUUAAUAGAUACUUGAAGGUAUCGGUCUUAGUAAUGACCUGCUGCCUAAUUGCCUGACAACCUCUUGAUAGUUUAACAAAUCUGUCCAAAAUGAGCUCGCCUUUGUCCUAUGCCAAAUGUACAAAGAAAGACUAAUUUUAAGGCAUUAAAGGAAUAACGUCAGUAUUUUGAUCCUUAUA
Molecule: long non-coding RNA, 673 nt
Filed under: Homo sapiens (human)
Lineage: Eukaryota; Metazoa; Chordata; Mammalia; Primates; Hominidae
Description: HSALNT0322016
Source: RNAcentral